RNA transcript from Gordionus sp. m RMFG-2023, 1309 nucleotides. It is a transcript of the gene named DNA excision repair protein ERCC-8-like, with no coding region annotated. NCBI's taxonomy places the organism in Eukaryota, Metazoa, Nematomorpha, Gordioida, Chordodea, Parachordodidae. The record is from RefSeq and is a predicted model, not a curated record. The transcript has 7 exons.
GAUAUGAUAAUCACACAUUCAUUAAGAAAGAAAUUAAUUACAGAAUUGAAAAAAUACAACAUUAUAACUUAUUCCAAAAAUGUCACAAAUCUUGUAUAUAUUCCAUGGAUAUUAAUAUUUUAAAUGGGAACUAUUUAUUAAGUUCAAGUCAAGAUAACAUUGGAAUAUAUUAUCUACAUGGGUUAGCCAAGCAUUACCCACUUAUAUUUAAUAUAUCAAACGUUAAAGGAAUAAGAACUGUUCAAUGGUACCCAAUAGAUAAUGGAAUAUUUACAACUAGUGGAGUACAAAAUAAGGUGGAAAUCUGGGAUACCACCAGGCAAAAAUCUGUAGAAUCUUAUACCUUUGAAUAUCCUAUAAACAGUCAUAAUAUAUCUAGGAUUUCAUCCAAUAAUCCAUUAAUAGCAGUCGCAACAAAUAGAAUAUGUCUAAUAGAUAUGUUAAGUGGAUCUCAACUACAAACAUUAAUAGGUGGUCAUAAGAGUGAAGUUAAAUUAAUCCGAUGGUCGAAUUUGUACCAUUAUUUAAUUGUUAGUGCCGACGACAAAAAAAUGAUUUUAUGGGAUAUCAGACGAGGUAAAAGAUUUUUGCACUCAAUCGAUAUCCGCCCCUAUAAUCAUUCAAAACCCUGGGUACAAGGUUUAGAAUUUGGAAAAGAUUGCCACAAGAUUGGUAUGUUAAACAGCGAUGGAAAACUAUAUACAUACGACUUGUUGAAUAUUAAUACCGAAUCAAACGCCAUAAAUUUUGAUAAUAUUAUAGGGAAAGAUCAAGAAAAAUUAUUGAAAAGAUUUAUAAUUGCUGAUAAUUCCUAUAUCGUUCCUUUAAAAAAUAAAAUUAUUAAAUAUAAAGUUGAUAAUGAUGCAUUUAAAGAAUUUAAAAAUGCACAUUUCGGUGAUAUAACUAACUGCAUUGCACAUCCUAUUAAUGAUGGCAUCUUUUACACUUCAUCGUUAGAUGCGAGUAUCCUCGAAUGGUCAAUACAAAAUAUAUAUUAAAAAUAGAAUUAUAUAAAGCAAGGAAUUAUAUAUCAUUUAUCAAUCAAAUAUUGAUCUAAUACAUUGAUUUGUGAUAAUAUGCUUGAAGUGCCAGUUCCGCCGAUAGCCUUAUAUUGUUCCACACUAUUAACCUCAGAUCGACCGCCAAACUCGAAUCAUAAAAACUCAAUAAGCGACAUAAUGAGCCACAAUGGUUGCCAGAAUUUUAUCAAAUAAUGACAUCAAAUCAAAAAAAUAUUUUAUCCAUCGUCUUAACACGCUCUUUGGUUCAGCAAUAUUUAUGAAGUAAUUGUCAUUAGAGAUCUGCAAAA